GUCAAAAGAAUUGUCCAAAACGUUCAGAGAAGAGAUCAUUGCCUUGCACAAACAAGGAAAAGGAUACAAAAAGAUAGCAAAAGCACUGAAUCAUGGCGGUGGCUCAGUGAUGCUCUGGGGCUGAUUUGCUGCCUCUGGCACUGGAAACCUGCAGCGUGUGGAGGGCACGAUGGAUUCAGUCAAAUAUCAGGAAAUCUUAGGAAAAAACGUCAUGCCGUCUGUAAUGAAGCUGAAACUUGGGCGUCAUUGGACCUCCCAACAGGACAAUGAUCCCAAGCAUACCUCAAAGUCCACCAAGGCUUUGUUUUAAGAAAUGGAAGAUUCUAGAGUGGCCAUCACAGUCGCCUGACUUGAACCCCAUCGAAAUAUCUUUGGUGGCAUUUGAAGGAAGGCGGUUGCAAAACGCACAACAAAGAAUAUUACUGAACUGGAGGCCAUUGCCCAAACAGCUGAGAAAUUGUAUAUAUUGCCAAUAAACCUAAUGUGCAAUGGGGGGGUUGAAUAAUUUUGAUUGCAACUGUACAUGGUACAAACCGCUUGGGUCUGCUGUACUAGGGAAUGUGAGUGAGAAGAGGGGCAUUUUCUGAAAAUACAUAUGCUACAGCAGUUGGAGUAGAUCUCCACAUCCUGCUUGCACUUGGAUUACAGCUGUGCUAGAUCUAAAGGAGUCUGCCAGGGAGUUAGUGGGCAACCAGCUCUCACUGGACUCUUCCUAACAGGCCUGCGUGGCUGACUUAAAGAUUGCCUUGCUUUAACGCCUAGCUCACCCUCCUAUUUGGCCAUAAGGUUCAUAUUGGGGGACUUGCUCAUUCUGCAGAGAGACCCAUUGGUUCAUUCAGCUGCAAACCCCUCGACUCACAUAUAGGUCCCUUGUUCAUUCAGCAAUGCCAUGGUGCUAGUCAGAUGAAAGCACCUGUCAAACAAACUGCUGGAACUGUGAUAAAUUAAUGAUCAAACGGCUGACUGGGAAGUAAAGUGGCAUUGCAGAGACCUGUAAGCACCAAAGACAAAGCAAUAUAGACAGAAAGAAAGGGAAACGGUGAGAGAGGGACCGAAAGGAGGGAUGGACAGUGAAUGAGCGAGAUGCAGAGAAUGUAGGAGACAAGAGAAAGGCGAGGGAAAAUAUAUAUAUAUAAGAUGACACAGAGGGAAGAAAUCAGAAAUGAAGAAACAGAAAUGUAAUGGUGUUUGUAUGCAUGUAGUUCCUUUAGCCUUCAAAGUAAGGACAGUUUGAGGAUGCAUCAACAGUCGCUUCAAAUUUACACACCACGCACAACGUAGUGGUGGCGUACACUGAACAAAUAAGUUUGCACCCAUUUUAUUACAAGUAGAAUUAUUAUUAUAUUAUUUGUUUGAGGGUUAACUCAACGACGCGCAGUGGCGGGCCUAACAACACCCCCGAAACUGUUACAUUAUUGGAUGAUAAAGUACAGCCUCUCGUACCUUAUUGCUUAAUUAUUACUCAGUUUUACGAUACUUUAUGGGCGACUCAAACUGCCUGAAACAAACUCUAAAUCUAAAAGCUACCAACUUUAAAACAGUGGCCCAGUGGCUGUAUUAGUUUGUGACAAUGUUACUACAUUGCAAUAGACGAAUACACUUUGAUAGAGCGACAUUUUUAUUAUAGACAUACAAGAGAAUGUUAUCAAAAGACUGCAGUCACACACAAUGGAAAUUCAUUAUUCAUCUGCAAGCUUUUUCGUAGGUCUUUAAACAAGCAUUUCGUCUUUCUGUGUGAUUUAAUAUACUUUGGAGGGCCAGAGAUUUCUUAUGGCUUCUGAGGGAAAAUGUAGAUGAUGUCAAAGAAAAAGGUCUCGCAAACAACACAUGAAUGCGGGGUUUUGUUUGGGAGAGGAAUUUGUUGUGAGUGAAUGUUGUUCUGAGCAAAUUUACAUCCCUAUUAUGUCGUCCAGGCGUUGUGACGGAGCGCUGCAGCUCAUCUCAUAUGCAGUUACCCAGCUAACUACCAGCCUUCCCCCUGCUGCUCCACCGGCCUUUGAUAAGAACAGAGGGAAAUUAAAAUCAUGAACCUGAAUUAUGAAUCCAAUGACGAAAUAGCCUCCAAAGGGUUUUUUCUUCGCACCGUCUCUCUUGGGCGAUUUUCUCCUGCUCUCUCCCACUUUUGCGCUUGUUCUUAUUUUUUCUUUCCGUUCCAGUGUUUUCUUUCUUUCACUUUGUUCUUCUUUCCCAGCACCGCCCUCCGUCUCUUUUCGUUACAGAGGAAUUCAACUACUAGCAUAUUCCAUAAGAGCAAGAGAGAGACUGAAGGGGAUAUAGAGGAGGAAAGUUUCAAACGACAAAAAACACACAGUUUGAUAAAACUGACGAGGGACUCAAUUAAGGCUUCCCUGUCAAAGCAGGAUUGAUAUUUUAUUAAGUGGCAGUGUGCCAUCCGAAGGGUACAUCAAGCGACACAUCUGUAGACGAGAGGACUGCACCAGCCGGGUAAGAGGGACACGUGUUGCCGCUUUCGGGAAACAUCAGUCGAAAGUCACUUCAUCACAUCUGCUGAAAAAUUAAGAAGUCCCUGUAUUAGUAUGCUUAUUUACUUUUUCAUGCACCACGCUAAGAAUUUGACGAGAAAAUGUCGCUGUCCUCCUUUUUCCCCUCCUUUUAUAUUGUACACAUGCCGGAACAAAGAAUGCCGGUAUUAGCUCUUGUUACAUUACCACCGGAACAAGUGCGACAAAGAUUUUGCCACUUCAAAAAAAGGCAACCAACAAAGCCCUGCAUAGUCGCUGCUUCUAAAAAAUAGAUUUAUAGGGCAACCUAUGUGCAUCCUUUUUAACUGCGUCUAAUGUUUCCGUUGCCAGCGUGCUUCAGCAUUGAGCAUAUUCAAUAGGGGAACUACUUUGACUAGACAAAAUGUAAUCUUUCUAAUGAUUGUGUCCUGCUGCAUGGACCCCAAAAUACUUACCAAAAUUAUUGUUUGUGUUCAUGACGUAAAACUCUGGUCUACCGUUCUUCUCAUUUUAAUUCGCUGUGGAUAAGAGACAAUAAAACAUCCAAAAUGUAACACGGAAUGCAGCUUUAUUUAUUGCUGAAAAAAAAGGAUUUGGGUGUAAUAGGAUAUGGGCUAUAAAUUCACCUCUGUUUCUUUGUAUAUAUAUUCACCAACUUUGUCCCAAAUUUAUUUUUAAAUAACCCAAUCCUUCAGAAAGAUCAAACAUGGUGGUAGUUAAAAAGAAAAUAGCAGUGCUCUGAUUUGCCUACAAAAGGCCACCGUGUUACAGUAAAAUUAAACUUUAAUUCCAAAGUCUCUCUUGUAUUUUAGAUUGCUCUUGUCGGAUGUUGUACUGUUGAAAAAAAACAGAUGCCCCUGUCCACCCACACGCAGACACACACAAACAUAACAGUGUGUGUGCCUGAGUUUUGUUAUUCUACACAAGUAUGGCUCUGCAUGACUACUCGUUCUGUGUGUGUCCGUCUGUGUGCACGCGCGUACAUGUUCGCAUGGUGGAGCUGACACUGGGUUGUACAGGAGCUCAGUGCUGACCAUACAUAGUCUGUUUCAUCUAGAACAAAAGCACUGUUGGAGAACACAAAAGGCCAGGUUCAAAAGCAUCGGCAGCCCAGGCCUGGAUACAUGAAACAAUCAGUGUAAACUUGUCCACAGCUAAGAGAGCGAUGAAGCACACACAACAAUGCUCCUCGUGCUCAACAGACACACUUCUGUCCACAUAGGACAAGAUUAAAGCUCUGGUUAGAUCAAACACACUGUUGAUGAUUAGCGCAAAAGAAUGUUUUUGUGUUUCUAUCAUUGAUUAAUAUGUUGCUCCCAAGACGAGCAAUAAUUUAUGCAUGAAGUGCACGACUGAAACCACAGCACUGCUGUGUGUAGUUGGUGUUGGGGUGUGGCGGACGUGAAAAAGCAGGCGACGUGCGUGCACAUGGAAGGCCAUUUCAUUUAAUGGUAAUUCAAGUAUAUAAACAUGCUAAUGAAAUAAAUAGUAUGGCUUUGAAAUAAGUUCUGGAAUGAUUAAUCAGGUGUUAAAUACGUAAAGAACUAAAUAUAGAAAAUCAAUCUUUUCAUUCUCUCCCCUGCCGAUGAUAAUCCUGUGUUGCCAGUAGGACAGCAUGGUGAUGCUCUGGAGACAAAGCUGCCAGCAACAUUGCGAAAAUCACAACCUGGCGAUGGAAAGUUCGCUAUUUGCUGUUUUGAGUGCAUAGUUUAGUCUCCUCCAUCACUCUAUCCAGUAUUAUUCUGACUGAUGGAUCCGUCAGUGGUCUUUUUUGUCUACUAAACAAAUGAAAGUUGCAGCUUGUGCCAUCGAGGCGACGCUUUCAUCAGCACCCAGUGGUUCUGUUUGAAGUACCUCCCCCCCUCUAUCUCCCGUACCGGCGCCGAACUUGAUGAGCUGGUACUUGGGAAUGUGACAUUCACAUUCAGCUACCACAUGUGGCAUACGCAUGUUUAUUUUCCUGCUGAAAUGUGGUUUUAUUGGUCAGUCAAAUAGUUAAAUAAAACUACAUUUGGUAAGAGUUACAUUUGAGUGCUUCAUCUGUGAAGAAGUAGAAGAACAUUAUCAUCCGUAAGUUGGUUCAGGUUGUGUUUUGUUCUUUUCUACAGACCUGCAGGCUGUUCCACUGUGACAAAAUAGGGUGUUGUCAGCCCAGGGGCAUCAUGUGUAUGCUGGUCUAGCUUUGGUCGCUUCGCCAUCAAUUUGCUACCGAUGUUUCCUGACAUCUACUAUUCGCCUCUCCAACAAUGUGCCAGUCAUGUCCUUUUUUCAUUUUUUUUCACAAUUUGUCUUUACAAUUUGUUUUUGCUAAAUCAGGCCUGUACAAGCCACAAUUAUUGUCUUUUAUUGUUGGCAAAAUAGCAGAUGGUGGAGGAUCAAACAAUUGUAGAUGACGAGGGCCAGCAGUUAUUUACCCCCACAAUUUUAUGAUAUGGAUUUACAGAUGAAUGGAUGGGUGUUCCGUGUGUGCCAUGCUGAUGUUGCCAGCCUGUGGUAGCUAGUUUGUGUUUCCCCUGGAGUGAAUGCAUUGGAAUGGAUGAAUGAUAAACAUAAACGUGGGUGUAAGUUAGAGAGCGUCAAUCACAAAAAGCACUGAGGUCUAUAGCACAAAACUAUAACACAGAAAUGCCCCAGGGAUACAAAACCCGCAUAGAAACCGUGUAGAAACCAACACAGGAAUUGUUUUGGGCUCAGAAAAAACUGUUGCCAAUAGUUUUUUUUCAACGAAAACACACUCUUUUAGUUAAUAAUAACUUGAAUUUUGUGUUGAGGAAAUGACGAUGGAUAACAAUAAAAGUGUAAAAGGUGAUACAAUCGCAACAAAGCUUUUGAUCCCUGCACCCACAGAGACAUAUCCACCUGUUGCAGACUAAAUACUAGCUGUAUUUAUUUCAGAGCCAAGCCUGAAUUGAGGGCUAAUUUGGUCAAAUAAACUCAAACGGAAAUAUAUUAGUAAGCUCCAUUUCGGACUGUUGUUUUUUUCUAGCUAUUCUAGCUUAUUUGUAGCUUGGCACCCAUUCACACUUAGCGGCACAUACAUAAAUACACAUUCACAAAUUGCUCCAAAUAUGUAUAUGCGUUUCCAAAAGUUGGAGGUAAACAACUUUAAUCAUCCUGUUCCACGUCGGUUCCACUGACAGUUUGUAUUAACAGACUGGGAAAAGAUGAGACAGGUGGAGAGCCAGGAUAUUUUACCCCAUUGGAGAGAAAGAAAAUGUAAAAUUGCAAUGAAAGGGAAGAAAACCCAACAAUAAAUAGGCGGUGAUGUCCUUACAUAGCCAAUAGGAUACACAUAUUUGUGGAGGAAAACUUAACAGGCACUUCAAUUAUGUAUUAAUCAAACAUAGCUUAACACGAACUGACAAGGAACUUGGCAAUCUGGCAGCCAUCUGGAAGACUGGACUGUCCGAGGUGAGGAAGAGGAGCGGCUGAACCCGAGAGAAAGGAAAAACCAAGGAGGGGGACAAAGACAGCAAGACCGAGAGGGAGUAUCAAGUAUCACUGACGGCAAAAGGUGUGUUUUUCGUACAUCACUGAGGAAGAGUAUCGUCAUUGUUGCCGGUUGCCGUUGUGCGUUACAAGUAUUCUAUGAUUGCAGAGCAAGAGCAUAGAAUCAGAAAGCUCUCCAAAUGGCACAGUUAAACAACCCGGCUGAUCGGUUGCCAUUGGCAGCCGCUUCCCUCCACAGAUGGGGACACAGUAACGAGGCGAACAAGACAAAAACUGACAAGACUGUGAUACAAACAAGGAAGCGAUACUUCCAUCUGGCUCUCACUGCACUUUGAUUUGCUCCCUCCAGUGGUUAGAGCGAUUUAGAUUUAAACCGCUCGCAGUGCGCUAACAAUCCUUUUCUCCUUAACAAUCCAAGACUGAUUUCACAUUGUUCUCCACCUAAGUUAUGUAUGACAAACGCCUGGGGCCAAAUCACCAUCAAAGCAGCACAUCGCGGGAACACAGUGCUUCCGAGAUUCUUAGUGAUGGCAGAUGUCACUUUUGAAGUGAGCAAGGGGAUGAAAGUGGCGGGAUGUGACGGGCGGCAAAAGGACAGCCUCUCUGCCGCGACCUGCCAUCAUCAGUGCCGCGGAGGUGUAAUGGGGAGAGACUGGAGGGGCCCCGGAAGCUACAGCGGGCUCCGUGGGAGUGUCUCUCUUGGUGCCCAGCAGGGGUCAUGCCUUAAAUGUUGCACCCACCUACCCAGGAGAGCAGCCAGCCUGGCAUCUUCCUUUUGCCAGUCAGUCAACGCGGCUGGGAUGGAAGCGUCUCCCUGCUUCACACCGGCUUGCUCUGCCGGUGGAUUCGUCGGGGUAUAGAGAGAAUAGCUAAUCUGAGGGAACCGGCGGCCCGGAAUCAAAGGCCCACCGGCUUCUCUCCUCCUUGUGUGCAGCGGGGCUCACCUGGGUAACAUCCCCGGCGUGAAGGAGCGAGCGGCAAGAGGACUCGGUAAACAAGGCAGAGCAAUGCAACUGUCAAACAGAGAGGCAGCCAGUGCAGGGAAACCAAAACAAACUCUUAACUCGGGAAAUUCAGAGAGCGUUUUCCCCUUGCCUGCUCCACUGUUCCCUGUGUCUUUAUUGUGGCUUGAUAUGUCACCACUGUCUUUAUCUCCUACUUACUCAGGACUUCAAGUGGCUGUCUCUAUUUUGCUGGGCCAUAAAUUAUUCAGUGCCGUGUGUCUUCUUAGUAUCUGCGCUUUCCAUUGGGAUGCUAUCUUAUCCCCUGUUCUGCAAGAGGGGCUGGUGCUUUGAGACAGAGUUUGCAAAAGGUAACACAGGAACUUCAGCGCCGACAUCCCCUUUCUUAGUAGGAGCUCUUGUCAAGUACAUAUAUUUGUUCCGGCACAAGGAAAAAAUGAAAAAGAAAAAACAGGAAAAAAAGUUGUAUCUGAAUUCAACAUGGCAACCAACAAGCUCCUGUGCUGCUGCUACAACAACUUGGACUACUAUCUGAGCCUAAAAUAAUGACAGUAUUCCACACAGAGGAGUAUGUUUUUGUGUUUCCCCCUGCGCAUGCAUGUGUGCGUUUGUGCAAGUGUGAUUGUUUGUGUGAGUGCGGUUGUGUGUGUUGGAGCUAACGGAGCCUACUGUAUGUAAAUAGCCAUAUGAGACUGCAUAGCAUUACUGUCCACACAUUGAAGAGGUGACCUGAUCCCAAUUAAUCACACAAUCCCAGGGAGAACUGUCACAUCCCAUCUCCAUCAGCAGUAGCAUCCUGUUCUGUCUCCCUCUCUCAUGUCACCCUCUAUUCCUCCAUCUCUCUUCCUCUCCCACGCACACAUACACGCAUACACUACCCAUCGCAGGCCCGUCGCACUCUCAACCAACUCCCCCACCUCGCCUCCCUCAUUUUAUUCAAACACACAGGGUCUAAAGCUGACAGGUCAGCUGGCGUGGGCCAGUCGGUCCCCACCUGUCCCCUUGCUUCUUCCCCCAGAAGGCAGAGUGCCAGAAAAAUGGUGAAGAGGCACUUCUAUCUUUACAGCUGCCAAAACCGGAUGCAACCGGAAGCUUUCUAUUCCCCCAACGGGAUGAAAUGUUUGCAUCGCACUUGUAUUGGUCAAGGACCGUAUACGGUGGAUAUUAUCCAGAGGUAUAAGAAAAUAUUGUUUUUUACUAAGCUCAUUCAUAUGGUAGUGCAUUCCUCAUCCUAUAUCCGUUAGGGUUUCCAUUAGCACAAAAUACUGCAAUAUAUUAAACAGUGAGCCGUGUAUCAUGCAACUGAUAGCAUCCUGAUCUUAGCAACAUUUACCAAAAAGAGUGCAGUGGGGGGAAGUUGGUCACAAUAUUAUUAUUACGUACAACAGAAAUUUUGUCUGAGCAAAAUGGGACAUUUUUGUAUGUACUAUGUGUAAUAAAUGGAAGGGUAGAAGGAACCCUUCUAAAUGUGGUAGGUGGGUAAACAUUUACUAGUGUCUGACUGGAAAGUGGAUGUAUAUGGACUUUGAAGCUUAUGUGACAGUAAGUGACGACUGCGAAUCAUU
This is a long non-coding RNA of Gasterosteus aculeatus aculeatus (three-spined stickleback), 8439 nucleotides long. The record is from Ensembl. Lineage: Eukaryota; Metazoa; Chordata; Actinopteri; Perciformes; Gasterosteidae.